Small nucleolar RNA from Arachis duranensis, 107 nucleotides. The record is from RefSeq and is a predicted model, not a curated record. Lineage: Eukaryota; Viridiplantae; Streptophyta; Magnoliopsida; Fabales; Fabaceae.
AACAUAUCACGGGGGUAUUUCCUUGUCAAGUCUUUAUACCUUUCCCAUGCUUCAUACAAGGUUUCACCAUUCUAUUGCCUGAAUGUUUGAACCUCUGUUCUCAGCCU